This 71-nucleotide transfer RNA is filed under the name Enterocytozoon bieneusi H348. Its description in RNAcentral is "tRNA-Cys (GCA) (tRNA-Cys-GCA-1-1)". It matches the Rfam family "tRNA". From Rfam's summary of the family: Transfer RNA (tRNA) molecules are approximately 80 nucleotides in length. Their secondary structure includes four short double-helical elements and three loops (D, anti-codon, and T loops). The record is from Rfam by way of RNAcentral. Lineage: Eukaryota; Fungi; Microsporidia; Enterocytozoonidae.
GGGUCGUUAGCUUAAUGGUAGAGCCGUCGGCUGCAACCCGGCAAGUGGGUGUUCGAUUCCCCCACGACCCU